UCCCUGGGGGUCCAGUGGCUAAGACUUGGUGCUCCCAAUGCAAGGGGCCUAGGUUCCACUCCUAGUCGGGGAA
This 73-nucleotide transfer RNA is filed under the name Bos taurus (domestic cattle). It matches the Rfam family "tRNA". From Rfam's summary of the family: Transfer RNA (tRNA) molecules are approximately 80 nucleotides in length. RNAcentral also lists the same sequence under 1 other name. Lineage: Eukaryota; Metazoa; Chordata; Mammalia; Artiodactyla; Bovidae. The record is from Rfam by way of RNAcentral.